This 772-nucleotide long non-coding RNA is filed under the name Gossypium barbadense (sea-island cotton). RNAcentral's name for it is "long non-coding RNA (GBAR_LNC004987)". Lineage: Eukaryota; Viridiplantae; Streptophyta; Magnoliopsida; Malvales; Malvaceae. The record is from RNAcentral.
UUACAAGGCCCACAGAUAAUUAAACCCAAUACCCCAAUUACACCCAAGCCUAUACCAUAUCCCAAAUGCUGCCCAAAAUUCAUUAAGAUCCAAAAUACACAGGGCCCAAAUGGCCCAAAUAGUUAACAGAAAACAGAAGGCUUAGGGUUUUUGGAACCCUAGGCGCCGCAAGCACUCCAAUCGUCACGCCCUUUCCUCUUGCGCCGUUCCAAUGACCCUUUAUCGACACCUCCAUCGGCGCCGUGAUUCUAGCUCCGUAUUGCACCGUAAUCUGUGUACGAAUUAGCGCCAGCGCACUCACUGCCAUGAUAUCCUCGUUGGUACCUGCAAAAAGGAAAUAACAAUAGUAGAAAAGAGAAGCAAACAUGGAAAGAAAUCUUUGAUUUCUUUCCCAAAAUGUAAUAGAGGGUUAUAAAAACCUUUUUUUUCUAAUCCGUAAAAACACACGAUUGAUCAGAUAUAUAAAAAACAGAGAAAUAGAUUAUAGAUUUUUUUUGCUUUGCCAGAAAACAGAGGUGAUUCUUCUUGUUUUAUUUUUUUUAUUUUCCUCUUGGGUACCUAUAUUUCAUACAUAUAAAAUAUUAAUUAAUAAAUAAAAAGAGGAUUACCUCUCGAUUCGCUGUGAAAAGUGAGGAUUUUUGAAUCCCGACCGCCGUACGUGGCGAAGUCGAUGGAGGCGCAUGGGCACGUGGGAGCCCGUGGACGGAAGCUUGACGGAGCUCCGACGGCCAGCUCUCAAUCCUCUUUCAGAGGAUUUUUUCUUGUUUUUUUU